CAGCAUCCGCGGUAAUACGUAGGGUGCAAGCGUUAAUCGGACUUACUGGGCGUAAAGCGUGCGCAGGCGGUUCGGAAAGAAAGAUGUGAAAUCCCAGAGCUUAACUUUGGAACUGCAUUUUUAACUACCGGGCUAGAGUGUGUCAGAGGGAGGUGGAAUUCCGCGUGUAGCAGUGAAAUGCGUAGAUAUGCGGAGGAACACCGAUGGCGAAGGCAGCCUCCUGGGAUAACACUGACGCUCAUGCACGAAAGCGUGGGGAGCAAACAGGAUUAGAUACCCUGGUAGUCCACGCCCUAAACGAUGUCAACUAGCUGUUGGGGCCUUCGGGCCUUGGUAGCGCAGCUAACGCGUGAAGUUGACCGCCUGGGGAGUACGGUCGCAAGAUUAAAACUUAAAGGAAUUGGCGGG
Molecule: ribosomal RNA, 408 nt
Filed under: uncultured microorganism
Description: bacterial SSU rRNA
Rfam family: Bacterial small subunit ribosomal RNA
Source: RNAcentral